GAUGAACGCUGGCGGCGUGCCUCAAACAUGCAAGUCGAGCGAGGCUAUGAAUUACCGCAAGGUAAGGCAUAGCCUAGCGGCGAACGGGUGAGUAACACGUGGGUAACCUACCUGGAAGACAGGGAUAACGAUUCGAAAGGGUCGCUAAUACCUGAUAAUAUCCAUCUGCCGGAUGGCGGAGGGAAGAAAGGGGAAACCCGCUUUCAGAUGGGCCCGCGUCCCAUCAGCUAGUUGGUAAGGUAAAGGCUUACCAAGGCGACGACGGGUAGCCGGUCUGAGAGGAUGUACGGCCACACUGGGACUGAGAUACGGCCCAGACUCCUACGGGAGGCAGCAGUUGGGAAUCUUAGGCAAUGGACGAAAGUCUGACCUAGCGACGCCGCGUGAGGGAAGAAGGCCUUCGGGUUGUAAACCUCUGUCAUGGGGAAGAAGGAAGUAGACGGUACCCCAACGAGGAAGCCCUGCUAACUACGUG
Molecule: ribosomal RNA, 475 nt
Filed under: uncultured bacterium
Lineage: Bacteria
Description: bacterial SSU rRNA
Rfam family: Bacterial small subunit ribosomal RNA
Source: RNAcentral